Molecule: ribosomal RNA, 253 nt
Filed under: uncultured bacterium
Lineage: Bacteria
Description: partial 16S ribosomal RNA
Rfam family: Bacterial small subunit ribosomal RNA
Source: RNAcentral
UACGUAGGGAGCAAGCGUUGUCCGGAAUCAUUGGGCGUAAAGCGCGCGUAGGUGGCUUCGUAAGUCCGUUGUGAAAGUCCAAGGCUCAACCUUUGAAAGCCGAUGGAUACUGCGGAGCUAGAGUACGGAAGAGGCGAGUGGAAUUCCUGGUGUAGCGGUGGAAUGCGCAGAUAUCAGGAGGAACACCAAUAGCGAAGGCAGCUCGCUGGGACGUUACUGACACUGAGGCGCGAAAGCGUGGGGAGCGAACAGG